GACGAAGGUGGCAACCGUUGUUCGGAAUUACUGGGCAUAAAGAGCACGUAGGCGGACUACUAAGUCGGGUGUGAAAUCCCUCGGCCCAACCGAGGAACUGCGCCCGAUACUGGUAGUCUUGAGGACAGGAGGGGAGCGUGGAAUUCCUGGUGGAGCGGUGAAAUGCGUUGAUAUCAGGAGGAACACCGGCGGCGAAGGCGACGCUCUGGCCUGUUUCUGACGCUGAGGUGCGAAAGCUAGGGGAGCAAACGGG
Molecule: ribosomal RNA, 253 nt
Filed under: uncultured bacterium
Lineage: Bacteria
Description: partial 16S ribosomal RNA
Rfam family: Bacterial small subunit ribosomal RNA
Source: RNAcentral